GCGAAAGCGACGUUCAACCGCAAAAGAAGCAGAGGGGGCUUAGUGGUGGGGUGACUGCGUACCUUUUGUAUAAUGGGUCAGCGACUUAUAUUCUGUAGCAAGGUUAACCGUAUAGGGGAGCCGAAGGGAAACCGAGUCUUAAUUGGGCGUUAAGUUGCAGGGUAUAGACCCGAAACCCGGUGAUCUAGCCAUGGGCAGGUUGAAGGUUGGGUAACACUAACUGGAGGACCGAACCGACUAAUGUUGAAAAAUUAGCGGAUGACCUGUGGCUGGGGGUGAAAGGCCAAUCAAACCGGGAGAUAGCUGGUUCUCCCCGAAAGCUAUUUAGGUAGCGCCUCGUGAAUUCAUCUCCGGGGGUAGAGCACUGUUUCGGCCAGGGGGCCAUCCCGGCUUACCAAUCCGAUGCAAACUGCGAAUACCGGAGAAUGUUAUCACGGGAGACACACGGCGGGUGCUAACGUCCGUCGUGAAGAGGGAAACAACCCAGACCGCCAGCUAAGGUCCCAAAGUCAUGGUUAAGUGGGAAACGAUGUGGGAAGGCCCAGACAGCCAGGAUGUUGGCUUAGAAGCAGCCAUCAUUUAAAGAAAGCGUAAUAGCUCACUGGUCGAGUCGGCCUGCGCGGAAGAUGUAACGGGGCUAAACCAUGCACCGAAGCUGCGGCAGCGACACUGAUGUGUUGUUGGGUAGGGGAGCGUUCUGUAAGCCGUUGAAGGUGGCCUGUGAGGGUUGCUGGAGGUAUCAGAAGUGCGAAUGCUGACAUAAGUAACGAUAAAGCGGGUGAAAAGCCCGCUCGCCGGAAGACCAAGGGUUCCUGUCCAACGUUAAUCGGGGCAGGGUGAGUCGACCCCUAAGGCGAGGCCGAAAGGCGUAGUCGAUGGGAAACGGGUUAAUAUUCCCGUACUUGGUGUUACUGCGAAGGGGGGACGGAGAAGGCUAUGUUGGCCGGGCGACGGUUGUCCCGGUUUAAGCGUGUAGGUGUGUGUUCCAGGUAAAUCCGGUUCACUUUAACAC
RNAcentral lists this ribosomal RNA (1012 nucleotides) under Salmonella enterica subsp. houtenae. RNAcentral's name for it is "partial 23S ribosomal RNA". It matches the Rfam family "Bacterial large subunit ribosomal RNA", at positions 568 to 1556 of the family's 2925-position model. The record is from RNAcentral. Lineage: Bacteria; Pseudomonadati; Pseudomonadota; Gammaproteobacteria; Enterobacterales; Enterobacteriaceae.